Molecule: non-coding RNA, 23 nt
Filed under: Arabidopsis thaliana (thale cress)
Lineage: Eukaryota; Viridiplantae; Streptophyta; Magnoliopsida; Brassicales; Brassicaceae
Source: RNAcentral
GCCAAUGAGGAUCAGGCGCGCCU